GUGUUACUAAUGUAAUCUUUGUGCCUGUGGUCCCAGCUCUCUUCAGGUCAUUGACCAGGUCCUCCUGACUGAUCCGUGUAAAGGAAAGAAUGAAUGGGGCCAUGUAUCGUGAAAUUUUGAGUGAAAACCUGUGUAUUUGGUCCAUAACGUUCUGUUCAAUCAGACAAUGUGAUCUUCUGGAUUUUUUUUUUCUCGUUUUCUCUCGUUGAGGAGAACCUAUGAUGCAAAUUACAGGCCUCUCUCAUCUUUUUAAGUGGGAGAACUUGCGCAAUUGGUGAUUGACUAAAUACUUUUUUGCCCCACUAUAUGCUUCUGUUUCAAUUUGUUUGUUUAUUCAUUU
Molecule: long non-coding RNA, 340 nt
Organism: Thalassophryne amazonica
Lineage: Eukaryota; Metazoa; Chordata; Actinopteri; Batrachoidiformes; Batrachoididae
Exons: 4
Source: RefSeq, a predicted model, not a curated record